CAUUCAACAUAUCCCCAGAUAGCUUAGAUCUGAGCGCACAUUAUUACCGAAUGGCGCUCAGAUCACAUACAUAAAAUUCAAUCGCCAUGGAACCAAAGUCUUUCACAUAGUCUUUUGUUACAUAAUUGGGCUCAAUGGCAUAGCUAUCUGGGGUAACACUGCUCACAUAGGGAAAGUACCGAAUGGACAGACUGAUGGAAUAAGCUUGCAGUAUGCAAAGCAC
Pelobates cultripes (western spadefoot toad) is the source of this 223-nucleotide non-coding RNA. Lineage: Eukaryota; Metazoa; Chordata; Amphibia; Anura; Pelobatidae. The record is from the annotation of a GenBank genome assembly.